CGCAUAGAUUAACGCGUUAACGCUGACAGCCCUAGUUUUUACCUAUGUUGACAAACAUACUGUUUAUGUUGACUUGUAAAAUUUUAAACUGCACAGGGUUCCCACGUACCUGGACAUUUUGAAAUCCCAUUUUCCAUGCCCGGUAAUUCAGUAAAACUAUUGAAAGUUUUGGAAAAGUCAUGAAAUUUGUCAUACUUGGGGUAUUGGAGAUAAAGGAUAUAUUUUAUGGAUUAAUGCGAGCCACAAAAUCCGAUUGCUUCUUAAUACAAGUAAACCGUGUAGGAACGGAAAGUAAGGGGAGGGAGGGAAAAAUACAUUUUAUUCAUGGCUAAACCUUCAUUCAAUUCAUGCGCAACCUUUUUUUUCCUGUCAAAAAUGACAACUUUGGCUUGCUUAGCAAUUGUAGAUGUGGAUAUAAACUAGUUUGACGAUUUUUAUUGCACUUCAAAAAAGUAGCCUAUAAUUUCAUGCAAUCAUGUUUUGAAGUUGCAAUAGCAUGCCCAAUGGUUGGUGCAUUAUCUAUUCUUGUCAAGUUGAUAAUGUCCAUUGAAUGGGAUAUGUUUGAAUACUACAUAUUCAAAUUCCCAUUUCAUUUCAUGGAGUGAGAAAGCAUAGUGGCCCACUCCGUGUACAAAUGAACUAAAGAUGAUUUAAAUUAACAUUUGUUUGUAUAUUUACUAUUUCUAAUGAGGUAAAUAAGGCAAAAUAUAGGUUAAUAUAUUAAUAAUGGAUACACAUGAAAUGCACUGACAUGAAUACUACUAAUGAAGUAAAAUAUAUUCUUUUAAAGAAAAGCACUGAUGGUCUAGAGUCACACACCCAAGACAGCACAGCUGCUGAACAAAUCCUAGGGGGAAAAACUGACGUAUGCAGGUCUAAUUAAAUGAAUUCUGUUGUACUCUUCCAUAGAUCAUAUUUCAUUAAGCACAUUUCUGCACCGUGAGCCAGUUCAAUUUGACAUAACCUUACCUAUGAGAAAAGGAAUGGAAUCGGUUGUUUAACUUCUGUAUUCAAUAACUAUGUCCAACUGGAGAAAUGGACACAAUUUUGUGUACCUGUAGGUUGUGAAAGGUCAUGGAAAUUGAAUUAAGUGUCCUUGAAAGGGUGGAAUCCUUAAUCUGUACUUUUGUCAUAUUGUGGCACUCCCUUAAUUUUACUGUUCUGUUUUGCAUGUCAUCCUGUCAUUUGACUGUGUUGUUGCAAUCAUUGUAGAUCUCAUUGUAUGAAUGUUACAAUGAACUGAGCUAUGUCUGAUCUGGUAAAUUGGUGAGUGUUACGACCCCCUGCGCCUCCUGCAGAUUGUGUAGUGUCAAAGCAUGGCCUACAGGCCACCAGGGGGGAGGACGAUUGGCUGAUUGGACUGAUUACCCGGGGAGGUGUGGGAGAUAAAAGGACCUGUAGACACCUGUGUCUCUCUCUCUCUCUCAGCCCACCUUAUUCGUGUUGGCGGAUGAGUUUGUGUUGACCCUCCGAGGCAUACAGGAAUAUAGAUACGGUGAUAAUCAGGGUAGGUACAGAGCUCCGGUCAAGGGCAGAUUGAGGCCUGGUAUAACUAACCCUGUGUCGCCCACCUAGGGUUCAAAGGAAUUCACCUGAUUUUAAAUUCUUAUAUAAUGUGUGUUUACUGUAAAAAGUCAGGGCACAAAAUCUCUGCCAUGCACUGAAGAAGAGGAAGUUUAAGUCUGUUGGGUUGGAAAAAGCCAAAGGCGAAGUCUGAGAAGACCAAAAUUCAGAAGCUGCAAUUGAAAGAGCUGACAGGAAAAAUGUAAGCUACAUUCAAACAAAACGGUGAAAUCCAACAGUUUAAAAGAAGAACUUUUCGAGAAAGAGCAACUUUAUGAGCGAGAAGUAAUUUAAAGAUGAGCGAAACAAGCUUCUGGCUGAGGCUAACAAACAGAAUGAUUACGUUCAGAUCCUAUCAAAGCAGCUUGAGGAACAGGUGGAGCAUAAGGAGGUCGAUAGGGUAGUGAAAGAAAAAUCAGAAAUCAUAUCUUCUUUGGAGCAGCAGCUGGAAAAUGCACAGGAAGAAUCUGAGGGUCAGAUAGAAAACAGAAUGCUGAGCUUGAAGUCCAAGAUUUGGAUAAGGAACAGCUUACAAAAGGAACUCACAGUAAUAUCUGAAAGUUUUUCCAAGAUAAAGAAGCAUUUGAAGAACCUAUUCAUUUGGCUGUUGAUGCCAGUGACUACGGUGUUGGCGCUGUACUUUUCCAGUUGGGCUCAGAUGGGUGUUGAACACCCGGUUAUGGGUUAUUCCACUGUGGCAUGGCAGAAUAAUAAUAAUAAUAAUUUUAUUAAGGUCUAAACUGAUCACAGUUCUUUGGUGUGUAUUGACCGAAUGAGGAACCCCCACAACGAAUGAUAUGCUGGAGUCUUAUAUUCCAGCCGUAUCCUUUACUAAUUAAAUAUAUUGAAGGUAUUGACCACUAAAACAUAUCUAAAAUGGCGUGGGGUCUAGCUUUAUCAUAGCCAGGGCAUUUUCAAUAGGUCUGCAUAGGCUGAAAGGUUGCACCAUAUAGCUGGGAUACAAGGUCAACAACCAUCCACAGUUGUAUUCACGGCUUCCAGUUUGACACGGGCAUGUGGUUCACCCAGGGCAAAGCGUAAAUCCAUUUCGGUCAGCACUAUGGAGACUCUAGUCAAACUCUCCCUUCUAUAUAGCUGGACAGGGCAGUGGUGGAUGAAUCAAUAACCGUGAGACUGUCCUGAAUUAAUGACGUCACAGGGGCCUCUUUUAGGUGUUCAGGGCCUAGGAAACUCAGACAAUCAUCAUGGUCAUCUUUAGAAUCUUUAAUAUCAUUUAAUGGCAUGUAGCAGACCACAUGGUCAAGGUUCAUGCCCUCACGGUCUUCUAGCUGGUUUAGUUCAGCUUAGUAAAGUGAUAACCCAGCCUCCCCUGGUAUGUCAGAGAAGAUUAUGUUCUAACAUUUUGCUCUUUUCUUAGUAUAGGAUCUAUUGUUUUUGUAUUUUUUUUUAUUUUCCUUUGUUAAUUUCAAUGUGUUCCUAUUGAAAAUGUGUAUUAGAAUAAAGAAUUCAUAAGAAUUAUAAAUUAGAAAGUUAAAAGUUAAAAUAAGUAGAUAAAUAAAGAGGUAGAGAGGUAGAGAGAGACAAAAAAAAAUUAAAGAAA
This is a long non-coding RNA of Clupea harengus (Atlantic herring), 3124 nucleotides long. RefSeq lists it as uncharacterized. The transcript is spliced from 2 exons. Lineage: Eukaryota; Metazoa; Chordata; Actinopteri; Clupeiformes; Clupeidae. The record is from RefSeq and is a predicted model, not a curated record.